GAUGAACGCUGGCGGCGUGCCUAAUACAUGCAAGUCGAGCGAACAGAUAAGGAGCUUGCUCCUUUGACGUUAGCGGCGGACGGGUGAGUAACACGUGGGUAACCUACCUAUAAGACUGGGAUAACUUCGGGAAACCGGAGCUAAUGCCGGAUAACAUUUGGAACCGCAUGGUUCUAAAGUGAAAGAUGGUUUUGCUAUCACUUAUAGAUGGACCCGCGCCGUAUUAGCUAGUUGGUAAGGUAACGGCUUACCAAGGCAACGAUACGUAGCCGACCUGAGAGGGUGAUCGGCCACACUGGAACUGAGACACGGUCCAGACUCCUACGGGAGGCAGCAGUAGGGAAUCUUCCGCAAUGGGCGAAAGCCUGACGGAGCAACGCCGCGUGAGUGAUGAAGGGUUUCGGCUCGUAAAACUCUGUUAUUAGGGAAGAACAAACGUGUAAGUAACUGUGCACGUCUUGACGGUACCUAAUCAGAAAGCCACGGCUAACUACGUG
RNAcentral lists this ribosomal RNA (497 nucleotides) under uncultured bacterium. Its description in RNAcentral is "partial 16S ribosomal RNA". It matches the Rfam family "Bacterial small subunit ribosomal RNA", at positions 28 to 507 of the family's 1533-position model. The record is from RNAcentral.